UCCCUGGUGGCUCAGAGGAUGACGCGUCUGCCUGCAAUGCAGGAGACCCAGGUUCAAUCCCUGGGUUGGGAA
Molecule: transfer RNA, 72 nt
Filed under: Bos taurus (domestic cattle)
Lineage: Eukaryota; Metazoa; Chordata; Mammalia; Artiodactyla; Bovidae
Also listed under: 5 other names
Rfam family: tRNA
About the family: Transfer RNA (tRNA) molecules are approximately 80 nucleotides in length. Their secondary structure includes four short double-helical elements and three loops (D, anti-codon, and T loops).
Source: Rfam by way of RNAcentral